RNAcentral lists this ribosomal RNA (497 nucleotides) under uncultured bacterium. RNAcentral describes it as "partial 16S ribosomal RNA". It matches the Rfam family "Bacterial small subunit ribosomal RNA", at positions 28 to 507 of the family's 1533-position model. The record is from RNAcentral.
GACGAACGCUGGCGGCGUGCCUAAUACAUGCAAGUAGAACGCUGAAGAGAGGAGCUUGCUCUUCUUGGAUGAGUUGCGAUCGGGUGAGUAACGCGUAGGUAACCUGCCUUGUAGCGGGGGAUAACUAUUGGAAACGAUAGCUAAUACCGCAUAACAAUGGAUGACACAUGUCAUUUAUUUGAAAGGGGCAAUUGCUCCACUACAAGAUGGACCUGCGUUGUAUUAGCUAGUAGGUGAGGUAAUGGCUCACCUAGGCGACGAUACAUAGCCGACCUGAGAGGGUGAUCGGCCACACUGGGACUGAGACACGGCCCAGACUCCUACGGGAGGCAGCAGUAGGGAAUCUUCGGCAAUGGGGGCAACCCUGACCGAGCAACGCCGCGUGAGUGAAGAAGGUUUUCGGAUCGUAAAGCUCUGUUGUAAGUCAAGAACGGGUGUGAGAGUGGAAAGUUCACACUGUGACGGUAGCUUACCAGAAAGGGACGGCUAACUACGUG